RNAcentral lists this ribosomal RNA (382 nucleotides) under Escherichia coli. RNAcentral's name for it is "bacterial SSU rRNA". It matches the Rfam family "Bacterial small subunit ribosomal RNA", at positions 1 to 377 of the family's 1533-position model. The record is from RNAcentral. Lineage: Bacteria; Pseudomonadati; Pseudomonadota; Gammaproteobacteria; Enterobacterales; Enterobacteriaceae.
UUAAAUUGAAGAGUUUGAUCAUGGCUCAGAUUGAACGCUGGCGGCAGGCCUAACACAUGCAAGUCGAACGGUAACAGGAAUCAGCUUGCUGAUUUGCUGACGAGUGGCGGACGGGUGAGUAAUGUCUGGGAAACUGCCUGAUGGAGGGGGAUAACUACUGGAAACGGUAGCUAAUACCGCAUAACGUCGCAAGACCAAAGAGGGGGACCUUCGGGCCUCUUGCCAUCGGAUGUGCCCAGAUGGGAUUAGCUAGUAGGUGGGGUAACGGCUCACCUAGGCGACGAUCCCUAGCUGGUCUGAGAGGAUGACCAGCCACACUGGAACUGAGACACGGUCCAGACUCCUACGGGAGGCAGCAGUGGGGAAUAUUGCACAAUGGGCG